UAGGGCGAAAGCCUGAUCCAGCAACGCCGCGUGAGGGAUGACGGCCUUCGGGUUGUAAACCUCUUCAGUAUCGACGAAGCGCCCUGUCGGGUGGUGACGGUAGAUACAGAAGAAGGACCGGCCAACUACGUGCCAGCAGCCGCGGUAAUACGUAGGGUCCGAGCGUUGUCCGGAAUUAUUGGGCGUAAAGGGCUCGUAGGCGGUUUGUCGCGUCGGGAGUGAAAUCUUACAGCUUAACUGUGAACUUGCUUCCGAUACGGGCAGACUUGAGGCAUUCAGGGGAGAACGGAAUUCCUGGUGUAGCGGUGAAAUGCGCAGAUAUCAGGAGGAACACCGGUGGCGAAGGCGGUUCUCUGGGAAUGUACUGACGCUGAGGAGCGAAAGUGUGGGGAGCGAACAGGAUUAGAUACCCUGGUAGUCCACACCGUAAACGUUGGGCGCUAGGUGUGGGGCCUAUUCCAUGGGUUCCGUGCCGCAGCUAACGCAUUAAGCGCCCCGCCUGGGGAGUACGGCCGCAAGGCUA
Molecule: ribosomal RNA, 523 nt
Filed under: uncultured Actinomycetes bacterium
Lineage: Bacteria; Bacillati; Actinomycetota; Actinomycetes
Description: bacterial SSU rRNA
Rfam family: Bacterial small subunit ribosomal RNA
Source: RNAcentral